GAAUGAUGAAUACAGUUAAAAUCGCAGGAAUUCCAGUCAGAUUGUACAGUGCUGAGUAACAAUUUUCUGAUC
Small nucleolar RNA from Callorhinchus milii (elephant shark), 72 nucleotides. The record is from Ensembl. Lineage: Eukaryota; Metazoa; Chordata; Chondrichthyes; Chimaeriformes; Callorhinchidae.